Syzygium oleosum is the source of this 2044-nucleotide RNA transcript. It is a transcript of the gene named F-box protein SKIP17-like, with no coding region annotated. The transcript has 13 exons. The record is from RefSeq and is a predicted model, not a curated record. NCBI's taxonomy places the organism in Eukaryota, Viridiplantae, Streptophyta, Magnoliopsida, Myrtales, Myrtaceae.
CUCUCUCUCAAAUCCUCCACUCCACCCACUAUGGAUGCCAUGCUCUUCCACACCGCCGCCGCACCGCCGCCGCCUCAACCGCCGCCGCAACCGCCGUCCAUGGCCAACAAGCGGCCCUGCCCCUCGUCGCCGCCGCAGCCGCAGCCGGCGGCGUCCUCGUCGUCGCCGCCGUCGUCGUCGGCCUUCGGCCAAAUCGACCACCUGUUCGACGCCUUCCUCUCCCUCGCCGACUCCUCCUCCCGCUCCCACUCCAUCGACCUCGCCUUCGACCGGCUCCUCGACGCGAGAGCCUCCGAUCGGGACGAGGCUCUGCUCAUCGACCGCGCCCUGCGGCUGGGCUCCGCCAUCACCGAGGCCGCCAGGCGCUCCGCGAGGAAGCGCGCCGCCAAGCACAAUUCCGUCGCGUGGGCUCUCCCUCCAGAUCUCACCAUCAAGGUUUUCUCCAUGCUUGAUUCACAAAGCCUAUGCUACGCUGCAGCAACUUGUUCGCUGUUUAACAAGUGCGCCAUGGAUCCUUUAUGCUAUACCAAUAUUGACUUGACAACAGUUGUCCCGAAGGUUAAUAAUGCUGUUGUGUCUACAAUGAUUCAAAGAGCCGGAAGAGCCCUUCAGUCAUUGAAGCUUGGUAUAGUCCCAGGCCCAACCAUGUCACCUGGAUCUUCUCAACCGUUAGUAUAUACAAUAAGGAGUUCCGUUGAUGUCUCCAACUUUUCAUGGAAUGAUAAGAAGACCAGACAAGGGAAAGAGUCGCCCAUCUUGACCAGGACAUGCUUAAGCCCUUUAAGUGCUGAUGGCAGUGCUGCUGGGAUAUUGUUGAGAAGAUUGCACUUGUACAACAUUGAAAGAAUGGAUAGUGCAUCACUUUGUAUGGCUUUGUCAGUAUGCCCAUCUCUAGUUGAUCUGGAAAUCGUUGGCCUACAUGUUGAAUUGAGACAAUUGUUGACUUCUGUGGGCUUAAAUUGUCAUUUGAUAGAGCGUUUGUUCUUCGAAUCUUCAAAAACAGGUAGAGAUGACAGUUUGAAAUCACCAACAUGUGUUGAUCUAGUCAACAAUUGUCCUCAUUUGACUUCAUUGUCUCUAAGAGGGUUUAAGCUCCAUGAUUGCAAAGUUAGAACACUUGUUAAGGGAUUUCGAAAGCUACGAUAUGUUGACUUUUCAACAUCCUACUCAAUCACUGGGAAUUUUCUAAGAAAUCUUGGCAGCACUUCAACCGGAACCUUACUGGAAGUCCUGAUUUUAAGGGACUGUAUGCAUCUCAAAGAGGUGGAGGUUGCUCGGUUUUUUACCGCUGUUCUUGCUGGAGAUUUCAAGUUUCUAAGACAUGUUGACAUAUCCAAUAAGGAAGGAUUAGCUUCUGAAGGUGACUGGUAUAAUAGAAGUUACUCUUCAAGUGUCAUCCCAUUUAAACAGGUUAUGGAAGAAAGGCCGGAUAUCUGUUUACUAGCAGAUUUCCCAUCGGAGGGGGGAAGUUUUAGCGAGAUGGAACAAAUUAUCGAUAGUGACCUCAACAGCGAGAUUGGCCUGCCAUUGCACCAUAAUGGUCAUGCAUCAGAUAGUUCUGUAUUUAUAAGUUCAUCUGAAAGCAGCUACAAUAGCGAUCAAGGCAGUGGUAAUGAGGAUAGCCGUGAUUCCAGCUACGUAAUCUACGAGGAAAGUUCAGAUGAGCUGGACUAUUUUCCCAUCUAGGAAAUGCCUUAAGUAAAGGAAAGUUUGGAGAUCAUGCGCCAAAACAAAAUGUUCUGCAACAAGCUCUUUAUCUAGCUAUCUGAAUCAAUGGUGCCAUUCUAGUCAAGUUGCCAUUCUAGUCAAGUUUUAACUGCCAAUGGCCGCGGAUUUGAAGGAACGCCGAAAACCCCAGGUUCGUGUAUGCCUGUUGCCUGAACUCCGGAAGUUUGUGUAUGGAUAAAUACCUAAAAGCCAGAAUAUAAUGAGCAACAUGUUUCUCUGUCCCUUUCUCUCCUGCGCAAAUUGUCAUCCGCUGUUAUCGGACGGAUGACUCAUGACUGAUGCUUUUCUUUUUUCCUUCUUUAUAUUUUUUUCUUUU